This 1209-nucleotide ribosomal RNA is filed under the name metagenome. Its description in RNAcentral is "bacterial SSU rRNA". It matches the Rfam family "Eukaryotic small subunit ribosomal RNA", at positions 639 to 1380 of the family's 1831-position model. The record is from RNAcentral.
UUUGGGUGUGCGGUGUCAAAGCCGUGCACUCUUAACGGUCGGACAAGUCCGUCGGAGUGUGGUUAUUGUUGGAAGGGCAACCGACCAAUGAGGCCACCGUAAUCGUUCGGGGUGCCUUUAAUCGGGUGUCUCGGGCGGCCGACAUAGUUUACUUUGAACAAAUUAGAGUGCUCAAAGCAGGUGACUACCGCCUGAAUAGUACAGCAUGGAAUGAUGAAAGAGGACCUCGGUCUGAUUUUGCUGGUCUUUAACGGUCGGGCUUCGGCCCGGCCUAUGCAGACCCGAGGUAAUGGUCAAUAGAGACGGACGGGGGCAUCCGUACUGCGGCGACAGAGGUAAAAUUCUUGGACCGCCGCAAGACGAACGACAGCGAAGGCAUUUGCCAAGAAUGUUUUCCUUGAUCAAGAACGAAAGUUAGAGGUUCGAAGGCGAUCAGAUACCGCCCUAGUUCUAACCAUAAACGAUGCCAACUAGCGAUCCGCCGGUGUUACUCCCAUGACUCGGCGGGCAGCUUCCGGGAAACCAAAGUCUUUGGGUUCCGGGGGAAGUAUGGUUGCAAAGCUGAAACUUAAAGGAAUUGACGGAAGGGCACCACCAGGAGUGGGGCCUGCGGCUUAAUUUGACCCAACACGGGAAACCUCACCAGGCCCGGACACUGGAAGGAUUGACAGAUUGAGAGCUCUUUCUUGAUUCGGUGGGUGGUGGUGCAUGGCCGUUCUUAGUUGGUGGAGCGAUUUGUCUGGUUAAUUCCGAUAACGAACGAGACUCUAGCCUGCUAAAUAGGUGCCGGGUUUUUACAUCUCCUCGCAAGGGGAGAGUGGAGUGUGUGGUUGUCGGGAUCCUGGGCUGUGGUGGUCGUUUAGGCUGCGGGGGGCAACUCUCGAGAAAGGGCGCUUUUAUUAGAUCAAAACCAGUCGAGAGCUUCGGCUCUCGUUAAGUUUGGUGACUCUGGAUAACUUCACGCUGAUCGCACGGUCUUCGCACCGGCGACGAUUCUUUCAAAUGUCUGCCUUAUCAACUGUCGAUGGUAGGUUAUGCGCCUACCAUGGUUGCAACGGGUAACGGGGAAUCGGGGUUCGAUUCCGGAGAGGGAGCCUGAGAAACGGCUACCACAUCCAAGGAAGGCAGCAGGCGCGCAAAUUACCCACUCCCGGCACGGGGAGGUAGUGACGAAAAAUAACGAUACGGGACUCUUCCGAGGCCCCGUGA